RNAcentral lists this small RNA (1093 nucleotides) under Pan troglodytes (chimpanzee). RNAcentral describes it as "retained intron". The record is from RNAcentral. Lineage: Eukaryota; Metazoa; Chordata; Mammalia; Primates; Hominidae.
AUUCCCGGCAUCCCCUAUGAGAGACGGCUUCUCAUCAUGGCGGACCCUAGAGAUAAGGCGCUUCAGGACUACCGCAAGAAGUUGCUUGAACACAAGGAGAUCGACGGCCGUCUUAAGGAGUAUCGUGGGUGAAGUGCUUAAACAGUUAACUGAAGAAAAAUUCAUUGUUAAAGCUACCAAUGGACCAAGAUAUGUUGUGGGUUGUCGUCGACAGCUUGACAAAAGUAAGCUGAAGCCAGGAACAAGAGUUGCUUUGGAUAUGACUACACUAACUAUCAUGAGAUAUUUGCCGAGAGAGGUGGAUCCACUGGUUUAUAACAUGUCUCAUGAGGACCCUGGGAAUGUUUCUUAUUCUGAGAUUGGAGGGCUAUCAGAACAGAUCCGGGAAUUAAGAGAGGUGAUAGAAUUACCUCUUACAAACCCAGAGUUAUUUCAGCGUGUAGGAAUAAUACCUCCAAAAGGCUGUUUGUUAUAUGGACCACCAGGUACGGGAAAAACACUCUUGGCACGAGCCGUUGCUAGCCAGCUGGACUGCAAUUUCUUAAAGGUAAAGGGAAGAUUAUUUUGUACUUAUUGAAAUUUAAUGUUACUUGAAUUAUCUUAUAUUUACCUUACUGUUUUUCCUUUAAUCAGGUUGUAUCUAGUUCUAUUGUAGACAAGUACAUUGGUGAAAGUGCUCGUUUGAUCAGAGAAAUGUUUAAUUAUGCUAGAGAUCAUCAACCAUGCAUCAUUUUUAUGGAUGAAAUAGAUGCUAUUGGUAAGAAUAACACCCUUGUUGAAAGUUUUAGGACUUUUUUUUAAAUUUAAAAGAACCUUUUUCCCUCUCUUAAUCUGUAAUUGUGACUUGUAUGAAGUAGAUACCACAAUGAAUCAGAUGUUAGUUUAACCAAUUUUAAUAAAUAACCUUUCAUGGCCGGGUGCGGUGGCUCAUGCCUGUAAUCCCAGCACUUUGAGAGGCCAAGGUGGGCAGAUCACGAGGUCAGGAGAUCGAGACCAUCUGGCCAACAUGGUGAAACCCUGUCUCUACUAAAAAUACAAAAAUUAGCUGGAUGUGGUGGCACAUGCCUGUAAUCCCAGCUACUGAGGAGGCUGA